This 1309-nucleotide ribosomal RNA is filed under the name Bacillus licheniformis. RNAcentral's name for it is "bacterial SSU rRNA". It matches the Rfam family "Bacterial small subunit ribosomal RNA", at positions 49 to 1340 of the family's 1533-position model. Lineage: Bacteria; Bacillati; Bacillota; Bacilli; Caryophanales; Bacillaceae. The record is from RNAcentral.
UAAUACAUGCAAGUCGAGCGGACAGAUGGGAGCUUGCUCCCUGAUGUUAGCGGCGGACGGGUGAGUAACACGUGGGUAACCUGCCUGUAAGACUGGGAUAACUCCGGGAAACCGGGGCUAAUACCGGAUGCUUGAUUGAACCGCAUGGUUCAAUUAUAAAAGGUGGCUUUUAGCUACCACUUACAGAUGGACCCGCGGCGCAUUAGCUAGUUGGUGAGGUAACGGCUCACCAAGGCAACGAUGCGUAGCCGACCUGAGAGGGUGAUCGGCCACACUGGGACUGAGACACGGCCCAGACUCCUACGGGAGGCAGCAGUAGGGAAUCUUCCGCAAUGGACGAAAGUCUGACGGAGCAACGCCGCGUGAGUGAUGAAGGUUUUCGGAUCGUAAAACUCUGUUGUUAGGGAAGAACAAGUACCGUUCGAAUAGGGCGGUACCUUGACGGUACCUAACCAGAAAGCCACGGCUAACUACGUGCCAGCAGCCGCGGUAAUACGUAGGUGGCAAGCGUUGUCCGGAAUUAUUGGGCGUAAAGCGCGCGCAGGCGGUUUCUUAAGUCUGAUGUGAAAGCCCCCGGCUCAACCGGGGAGGGUCAUUGGAAACUGGGGAACUUGAGUGCAGAAGAGGAGAGUGGAAUUCCACGUGUAGCGGUGAAAUGCGUAGAGAUGUGGAGGAACACCAGUGGCGAAGGCGACUCUCUGGUCUGUAACUGACGCUGAGGCGCGAAAGCGUGGGGAGCGAACAGGAUUAGAUACCCUGGUAGUCCACGCCGUAAACGAUGAGUGCUAAGUGUUAGAGGGUUUCCGCCCUUUAGUGCUGCAGCAAACGCAUUAAGCACUCCGCCUGGGGAGUACGGUCGCAAGACUGAAACUCAAAGGAAUUGACGGGGGCCCGCACAAGCGGUGGAGCAUGUGGUUUAAUUCGAAGCAACGCGAAGAACCUUACCAGGUCUUGACAUCCUCUGACAACCCUAGAGAUAGGGCUUCCCCUUCGGGGGCAGAGUGACAGGUGGUGCAUGGUUGUCGUCAGCUCGUGUCGUGAGAUGUUGGGUUAAGUCCCGCAACGAGCGCAACCCUUGAUCUUAGUUGCCAGCAUUCAGUUGGGCACUCUAAGGUGACUGCCGGUGACAAACCGGAGGAAGGUGGGGAUGACGUCAAAUCAUCAUGCCCCUUAUGACCUGGGCUACACACGUGCUACAAUGGGCAGAACAAAGGGCAGCGAAGCCGCGAGGCUAAGCCAAUCCCACAAAUCUGUUCUCAGUUCGGAUCGCAGUCUGCAACUCGACUGCGUGAAGCUGGAAUCGCUAGUA